Molecule: ribosomal RNA, 484 nt
Filed under: uncultured bacterium
Lineage: Bacteria
Description: partial 16S ribosomal RNA
Rfam family: Bacterial small subunit ribosomal RNA
Source: RNAcentral
AUUGAACGCUGGCGGCAUGCUUUACACAUGCAAGUCGAACGGCAGCGCGGGCUUCGGCCUGGCGGCGAGUGGCGAACGGGUGAGUAAUACAUCGGAACGUGCCCAGUAGGGGGGGAUAGCUCGGCGAAAGCCGGAGUAAUACCGCAUACGACCUGAGGGUGAAAGCGGGGGAUCUUCGGACCUCGCGCUAUUGGAGCGGCCGAUGGCAGAUUAGCUAGUUGGUGGGGUAAAGGCCUACCAAGGCGACGAUCUGUAGCUGGUCUGAGAGGACGACCAGCCACACUGGGACUGAGACACGGCCCAGACUCCUACGGGAGGCAGCAGUGGGGAAUUUUGGACAAUGGGCGAAAGCCUGAUCCAGCAAUGCCGCGUGUGUGAUGAAGGCCUUCGGGUUGUAAAGCACUUUUGGCGGGAACGAAAAGGACUGUGCCAAUACCACGGUUCGAUGACGGUACCCGCAGAAUAAGCACCGGCUAACUACGUG